UGCUCCACUUUCCAAAUUAAAGUCAUUGACCUUAGAAUCCAUGGAGAAUCUAGCAUCUCUACCUAGAGAUUGGAUGCGGAACCUCACCUCCCUUCAGAAACUAAGUAUCGACUUUCUUGCCAAUUAGCAAAGUCACCAGAUCUACAACCGCCCCAAUUUGGCAUCUCUGCCAAAAGGAAUAUGUCAAAUCACCACUUUACAAGAG
Molecule: unclassified non-coding RNA, 205 nt
Filed under: Hevea brasiliensis (rubber tree)
Lineage: Eukaryota; Viridiplantae; Streptophyta; Magnoliopsida; Malpighiales; Euphorbiaceae
Source: RNAcentral